Small nucleolar RNA from Rhinolophus ferrumequinum (greater horseshoe bat), 70 nucleotides. Lineage: Eukaryota; Metazoa; Chordata; Mammalia; Chiroptera; Rhinolophidae. The record is from Ensembl.
GAGCAUUGAUGAAAAGAUUUUACUAUUGACCUCUGUAUCUAUGAAGGUUUCUACACUUGAUGUGAGCUCA